Non-coding RNA from Caenorhabditis elegans, 132 nucleotides. The record is from Ensembl. Lineage: Eukaryota; Metazoa; Nematoda; Chromadorea; Rhabditida; Rhabditidae.
AGUUUUUAUGGGAUAAAUUAGAGAGCAUGCAAGAUAUAUCUAUCCCGAAAUCCUUUGACUGUCAAAAAGGAAAUAGCGGAUUGGGAGAUUUUUGUUGACUCGCAUCAAAAUAGAGACAAAAUGAAAAGGAAC